Molecule: ribosomal RNA, 643 nt
Filed under: uncultured bacterium
Lineage: Bacteria
Description: bacterial SSU rRNA
Rfam family: Bacterial small subunit ribosomal RNA
Source: RNAcentral
CGCGGCCUAUCAGCUUGUUGGUGGGGUAAUGGCCUACCAAGGCGACGACGGGUAGCCGGCCUGAGAGGGUGACCGGCCACACUGGGACUGAGACACGGCCCAGACUCCUACGGGAGGCAGCAGUGGGGAAUAUUGCACAAUGGGCGCAAGCCUGAUGCAGCGACGCCGCGUGAGGGAUAACGGCCUUCGGGUUGUAAACCUCUUUCAGUAGGGAAGAAGCCGUGAGGUGACGGUACCUGCAGAAGAAGCGCCGGCUAACUACGUGCCAGCAGCCGCGGUAAUACGUAGGGCGCAAGCGUUAUCCGGAAUUAUUGGGCGUAAAGAGCUCGUAGGCGGUUUGUCGCGUCUGCUGUGAAAAGCUGGGGCUUAACCCUGGCCUUGCAGUGGAUACGGGCAGACUAGAGGUAGGUAGGGGAGAAUGGAAUUCCCGGUGUAGCGGUGAAAUGCGCAGAUAUCGGGAGGAACACCGGUGGCGAAGGCGGUUCUCUGGGCCUCACCUGACGCUGAGGAGCGAAAGCGUGGGGAGCGAACAGGAUUAGAUACCCUGGUAGUCCACGCCGUAAACGGUGGGUACUAGGUGUGGGUUUCCUUCCUUGGGAUCUGUGCCGUAGCUAACGCAUUAAGUACCCCGCCUGGGAGUACG